Puccinia sorghi is the source of this 101-nucleotide non-coding RNA. The record is from the annotation of a GenBank genome assembly. Lineage: Eukaryota; Fungi; Basidiomycota; Pucciniomycetes; Pucciniales; Pucciniaceae.
GUGGGUGUUAGCGUAGAAAAAUGCCAUGCUAACUGUUAGCGUAGAAAAAUGCCAUGCUAACUGUUAGUGUAGCGUUUGUCUACGCUAACACAGCCUUGUCA